GAUGAACGCUAGCGGCAGGCCUAAUACAUGCAAGUCGAGGGGCAGCGCGGUAGCAAUACUGGCGGCGACCGGCGCACGGGUGCGUAACACGUAUGCAACCUACCUUCAACUGGAGGAUCGCCCGGGGAAACUCGGAUUAAUACUCCAUAACACAGGGAUCCCGCAUGGGAAUAUUGUUAAAGCUACGGCGGUUGAAGAUGGGCAUGCGUUCGAUUAGCUAGUUGGUGUAGGUAACGGCUCACCAAGGCUACGAUCGAUAGGGGGUCUGAGAGGAUGAUCCCCCACACUGGUGCUGAGAUACGGACCAGACUCCUACAGGAGGCAGCAGUAGGGAAUAUUGGUCAAUGGGCGCAAGCCUGAACCAGCCAUGCCGCGUGCAGGAAGAAGGCCUUCUGGGGGUUUGUAAAACUUGCUUUGCCGGGGGAUAAAAGAUCCAUGCGUGGAGAAUUGAAGGUACCCGGUGAAUAAGCCACGGCUAACUACGUGCCAGCAGCCGCGGUAAU
RNAcentral lists this ribosomal RNA (503 nucleotides) under uncultured bacterium. Its description in RNAcentral is "bacterial SSU rRNA". It matches the Rfam family "Bacterial small subunit ribosomal RNA", at positions 28 to 524 of the family's 1533-position model. The record is from RNAcentral.